Helianthus annuus (common sunflower) is the source of this 538-nucleotide long non-coding RNA. RefSeq lists it as uncharacterized. The record is from RefSeq and is a predicted model, not a curated record. The transcript is spliced from 2 exons. NCBI's taxonomy places the organism in Eukaryota, Viridiplantae, Streptophyta, Magnoliopsida, Asterales, Asteraceae.
GAACAGUAUAACAUUUACUCAAAUUUUUGCUCUUAUUUACGGUAAUGCCAUCUUUCCACCGCUCAAAGAACAUCCACAAUUCAUCUGCCAUCAUUGUGUUUACGGAUCAACCAUGGGACGGCGCCGGAACUAUGGUUCUGCCAUGAACUCUUGCCUGCCGCGAUGAGAAACCUGCCAACAGCUAAAACGGGAAUUGCUUUAGGAUUUCGACCAAAAACGCUCUAGGGUUUCGACAAAAAAUGAAAGCUUCCGCCGAUCAUCUUCACUUUCGGGUUUAGUUGUCCACUUCCGUUCUUGCUGUGGCCAUUUUGGUUCUGUGAGUUGUAGUGCUGCUGGCAUCGGUUCUAGCUGUUUUGCAUCAUGUUCGAAAUGGAGUAGUAAAAAGGUAUAACAUGAUCAUGUGAAAAAAUUUAAAUUGUAUUUCCACUUUUCUUUCUUGUGUAAUUUCAACUUUUUAGGUUUACGAAAAAGAUGCUUGACAACUAAACUUUAUAGAGUAUUGCACACAGAAAUACUAAGAAAUUAACGUGUUGGACUA